AACAGGACCGAUCCACCACCGACCGAGACACCUAAUUCAAAAAGACGUGAGUGAAAGCUGCUGUGCUUAGUGCUUAAUUUAUGUCUGGGUCUUUGUAAGCACAUACAAUGGUUCAGUAGGACUGGAGAUCGAUGUGCAGUACCAGACUUAUGUGAAAACAAGAUGUCUAUCACUGCAGAACUGCAUACUGAGUGACCGCACCUACACCUGAAUACACCAAGCAUGAAUGUGCCCCUCUGCACAAUCAAAAGUCCAUGAAGAAUUGGAAUGUCGACUGCGAGGCAUGCUUUUUCACCCGACGUAGAAAAGGUACAACUUUGUGGAUAGGACACAAGACUUAGAAACCAGUUCAACAGUAAUUUCAGGCAAUAAAAUCCAACCUCCUGGUGGAACCAUCCCCAUCCAAAAUAUUGAUAUGAUGUGAAUGUAAUAAGGCCAAAGACUAACCAAAGGUCAGUUUUAUCCAACGUCUACAGUAUUGUAAUCAAAGCUCAUUUCCUUCCUGUUAUUACAACCCGGUCCCUCCUGCCUUUGUUUAUUUCUGUUGAAUCUAAGAGGUAAUAGGAAUGUAACAGUACUGAUUAAAAC
Molecule: long non-coding RNA, 588 nt
Organism: Trichomycterus rosablanca
Lineage: Eukaryota; Metazoa; Chordata; Actinopteri; Siluriformes; Trichomycteridae
Exons: 3
Source: RefSeq, a predicted model, not a curated record